AAGUCGAGCGGACCGACGGGAGCUUGCUCCCUUAGGUCAGCGGCGGACGGGUGAGUAACACGUGGGUAACCUGCCUGUAAGACUGGGAUAACUCCGGGAAACCGGGGCUAAUACCGGAUGCUUGAUUGAACCGCAUGGUUCAAUCAUAAAAGGUGGCUUUUAGCUACCACUUGCAGAUGGACCCGCGGCGCAUUAGCUAGUUGGUGAGGUAACGGCUCACCAAGGCGACGAUGCGUAGCCGACCUGAGAGGGUGAUCGGCCACACUGGGACUGAGACACGGCCCAGACUCCUACGGGAGGCAGCAGUAGGGAAUCUUCCGCAAUGGACGAAAGUCUGACGGAGCAACGCCGCGUGAGUGAUGAAGGUUUUCGGAUCGUAAAACUCUGUUGUUAGGGAAGAACAAGUACCGUUCGAAUAGGGCGGCACCUUGACGGUACCUAACCAGAAAGCCACGGCUAACUACGUGCCAGCAGCCGCGGUAAUACGUAGGUGGCAAGCGUUGUCCGGAAUUAUUGGGCGUAAAGCGCGCGCAGGCGGUUUCUUAAGUCUGAUGUGAAAGCCCCCGGCUCAACCGGGGAGGGUCAUUGGAAACUGGGGAACUUGAGUGCAGAAGAGGAGAGUGGAAUUCCACGUGUAGCGGUGAAAUGCGUAGAGAUGUGGAGGAACACCAGUGGCGAAGGCGACUCUCUGGUCUGUAACUGACGCUGAGGCGCGAAAGCGUGGGGAGCGAACAGGAUUAGAUACCCUGGUAGUCCACGCCGUAAACGAUGAGUGCUAAGUGUUAGAGGGUUUCCGCCCUUUAGUGCUGCAGCAAACGCAUUAAGCACUCCGCCUGGGGAGUACGGUCGCAAGACUGAAACUCAAAGGAAUUGACGGGG
RNAcentral lists this ribosomal RNA (879 nucleotides) under Bacillus paralicheniformis. Its description in RNAcentral is "bacterial SSU rRNA". It matches the Rfam family "Bacterial small subunit ribosomal RNA", at positions 59 to 918 of the family's 1533-position model. Lineage: Bacteria; Bacillati; Bacillota; Bacilli; Caryophanales; Bacillaceae. The record is from RNAcentral.